This 253-nucleotide ribosomal RNA is filed under the name uncultured bacterium. Its description in RNAcentral is "partial 16S ribosomal RNA". It matches the Rfam family "Bacterial small subunit ribosomal RNA", at positions 524 to 776 of the family's 1533-position model. The record is from RNAcentral.
UACGGGGGGAGCAAGCGUUGUUCGGAUUUACUGGGCGUAAAGGGCUCGUAGGUGGCCAACUAAGUCGGACGUGAAAUCCCUCAGCUUAACUGGGGAACUGCGUCCGAUACUGGAUGGCUUGAGUUUGGGAGAGGGAUGCGGAAUUCCAGGUGUAGCGGUGAAAUGCGUAGAUAUCUGGAGGAACACCGGUGGCGAAGGCGGCAUCCUGGACCAACACUGACACUGAGGAGCGAAAGCCAGGGGAGCAAACGGG